UACGAAGGGGGCUGGCGUUGUUCGGAAUUACUGGGCGUAAAGCGCGCGCAGGCGGCUAUCCAAGUCAGUGGUGAAAGCCCGGAGCUCAACUCCGGAACUGCCAUUGAAACUGUUUAGCUUGAGUAUGAGAGAGGUGAGUGGAAUUCCCAGUGUAGAGGUGAAAUUCGUAGAUAUUGGGAAGAACACCGGUGGCGAAGGCGGCUCACUGGCUCAUUACUGACGCUCAGGCGCGACAGCGUGGGGAUCAAACAGG
This 253-nucleotide ribosomal RNA is filed under the name uncultured bacterium. RNAcentral's name for it is "partial 16S ribosomal RNA". It matches the Rfam family "Bacterial small subunit ribosomal RNA", at positions 524 to 776 of the family's 1533-position model. The record is from RNAcentral.